AUAGCGUUUUAGAGCUAUUAAUUUUCUUUUUGAAAAAACGGUUUUCACUUUUCCCAGUUCUCUUUUUCGUGCGUUCUCCCUGGCUUCUCCUGUAGGCUUUUCCCUCGUGUUCUCAUUUGGUUCUGCAGCGUUCUCCACUAUCUUUGGUUCGCAAUCUAUGUUGGCUCCGUGUUUGGUUGUCAGUGUUCCCCUUUGCAGGGUUCUUUUCAAUGCCAGCCCUACCUCACUCACUUAACGACGACCCUGUAUCCCAUAUUAACGACAACCUUGCAUCUCAUCUUUGCUUUAGGUAAAACCUCAGUUUAUUAUAAAAAAAUGUUUCAUCAAUGCGGGGUUAUGGUUUCUCUAGGCCAUCUCAGUUAACCCCUUCUUUCUCGAGCUCUCCCUCCUUUUGCGCUUUCCUCAUUGAAAAUAUCUUUGUUUCAUUUCACUGACCAUAUGCUUGAUUGACAUUCGAAACUCACUGGAUGUUAAUUCGAAGGAGAUGAAGCUUGGAUGACAAUAUCCAUUUUUAUUCACUGUGUAAAGGUGUGGCUGGUUUGCUUUCACUGUAGGCAAUGGAAUCAUAAGUCUGCUUGGGAUUGUUACAAAGUUCACCUCUAUUCUUGUGGACUCUUUCCAUCCAUUUUUUGUUGGGGACUACUUAUUCAAUCGAUCUAGCCCUGUUGAGAUGGAAGAGAAUUGCAAUGCUUGAACCCUCACAAAGCCAAAUGUUUUUUUGUGCUAAUAUGUGUUCGUCAUAUUAAAUCUAUAGACCUUUGUGUUCAAGAGGCCAACUAUGAUUCUAGAUCGUUGAUUUUUUUCUACAACAUUCUUGAGUUUCUUCUCUUUAAUUUAGCAUUGUUCAAGGAUAUACCUGACAAUGAAGGAGAUGACAAAUUUGGUAUUCAAUCUUUGUUAGUGCAUUUGGGUCAGAAGAAGGUAUUCUGGAUUUAUGAUUCACUUUUUGAAAUGAUUUAUAGAGUUGCCAUUCUUGUGGGUGCAACAUCUUCCUACCACUGAAGCAAAAUGAUCACGUGUCCAAAAUAAUCCAACAACCAUGAAUGUGGUUAUAUAAAAGAAAUUAUCAUAUAGUAUAAAGAAGGAACAAUUCCAAGUUAUUAUUUUUCUAGUUGCAAAUGUCAACAAUAUUGUGACAAUCAAAUCGUUGAAGGUAGCAAAGAUUGGUGUUUAUAUGUAACUAGUACAUGUUUAUAGGUUAUCUUAUGGUGAUGUACAUGUUUAUAGGUACACAUAGGAUAAUGGUUAUAUAUAUUGUCUUAUAAAGCAAUGUCAUGUCAUGACACGUACUAGACGACUUAAUGAUUAUAUUUUGAAUUAUUAUUGUACCAAUAAUUUUUAUUCAUAUU
Long non-coding RNA from Vigna radiata var. radiata (mung bean), 1349 nucleotides. RefSeq lists it as uncharacterized. NCBI's taxonomy places the organism in Eukaryota, Viridiplantae, Streptophyta, Magnoliopsida, Fabales, Fabaceae. The transcript has 8 exons. The record is from RefSeq and is a predicted model, not a curated record.